Molecule: long non-coding RNA, 4298 nt
Organism: Pipistrellus kuhlii (Kuhl's pipistrelle)
Lineage: Eukaryota; Metazoa; Chordata; Mammalia; Chiroptera; Vespertilionidae
Exons: 2
Source: RefSeq, a predicted model, not a curated record
CUGUAAAACUCCAGUCAUUGUGACUGUAUCACAGUUACCCAUUGUCUUGUUUAUGGGGGAGGGAGGAAGCAGUUCUGCCUUAGACAUGGCGACACUGAGAUGGCUGUUAGGGCUCAGUGCAGGCGUCGAGCAGACAGGUGGCUGUGUAAGCCUGCCGUUUGGGAGACAGGUCUGGGAUGGAGAUGACGGCAUGUGGACCGCAUCUAAAGCAUCGUAUCUCCCGCCACUUCUAGCAUGCUAUUUAACCCAGCCACUGAGAUACUUAUUUUUAAAAUAUUAUUUCUUAAAGUUCUAUAUUUGUUUUUGUUGCUGAAGUGUGACUUGUAAAAGAAUAAGUGACAAUAAUAUGAGCUUCCUAGAAAAUAAAGGGAAAGUGGUUUGUAAACCCUAAAGGGCUAUAAAAAGGUUUAAGUAUUAUUAUGUUAGUAACUCUCUCUGGGAUUUUCAUGAGGUCCAAAUAAAACUGUAUAUAUAAAUUAAAAAUGAAAACAUGUACACUCAAUUAUUAUAUUUGGCUUUAGUACCUGGUUAACUUUUAGCUAAUAGCUAAUGCUCACUGGGUGCUUACUUUACGUGAAUUAACCACCUAAUUAAUCUUCACAACAGCCUGUGACUGGUAGAUACUACUUAUUCAUAUUUUACAGACAAAAAAACAAACAAAACUAAAAUGCUAAAGUGAUAGACCCAGGACUUGAAUCCACCGAGUUGGCGCCUAAAAGCUGUGCUCUUAGCUGUUCUGUGGAUCUUCCCCAUUUUAAAUGGCAGAUCUUACCCAGUGUCUUCCACUUCAAGUUUUAAAAAAUGUUAGGGCCACCUUGAACCCAACCACAAAACAGCACUCCAGGCAUUGGGACCUGGCAAAGGGCCUUGUCUCUACUGACUUAGUUUCACACUGAACUGUCCUCAGACCUCACAGGGCACUGACCUCCCACCAAGUGCCCACUCUGUACUCAUUGCAAAUGCCAUCUACUUGAUGUAAGUUAUUUGCCUGAAGCCACCCAAUGAGUCAGUAGCGGGCCAGGGACUGGAAUCUGGGUCUCUUGCCUUUCAAACACCACAUUUGUUUGGUGUUAAUAAAACCAUAUUUCUCCAGGGGAUCUGGCAGAAAUUUGAAAGUGCUCAAUUUUACUGCAGUAAAUACUAAGAAUCCCUUUUUAAAGCAAAGAAGCCAAGCCCCAGCCUUGGAAAACACAAUUUGUCCUGAGGGCCUUUGACAAGCUCACUUUGGCACCAGGAUCAGAUCCUAGAUCAGUCGGCCUUGCUUGGUUCCAUCUCCUGCUGGGGCUGCUGGGAGCUGCAGCAAGACCUGGAAACACUCUUGCAGAUGACACUGGAAUAUGUCAGUCCUCCCCACCGUCAGCAGGCCCCAGCUGAUGGUCCUCACAUUCCUGGGACACUGGUGACACAGGUCAGGACCCAGGUGAACGAGCCAGGCUGUCAGAAUUGACACCUCUCUGCCUGUGUGCUGUGUGUCGUGACGUGCAGUUUAGCUUCCGGUGUUUGUGGAAGGUGUUUGCCUGAUUUCCUGAGCCACACCAGUCGAGGAGAAGAUGCAGGCGUGCAGGAGGAGAAGGGAGAAGAAAAGAGAGUAUGGACUGCUUGCGUGCAGGGAGUGGUUUAUUACUUUGUCAUCUUAAUUAUUCUGGGCAUAUUGUGGACCCUCGGCUAACAACGUGAUUAAGAAAUUUAACUGAUCAAAAUGUUUUAGAAAGCCGAAUUUCCGAUCUCAAUCGACUGUGCUCCGGCCGGAACUGAGUUUGAAUGUAUUUUUCAGAAGGCAGGUUAUCACGGAAGACCCGUAUGAAGGCGCACAAGGGCAUGCUUUGAUCUUUUUAAUACUCACAGUUCCCAGGACGAUGGCAUUCAUGUCCAUCUCUGCCUCGACAGCCGGGCUUUAGGCAAAAGCCCGUCGUGGCAAACACGGACCAGAUUGGGGCUGCACUCAGCUCAGCAGGUUAAGCUUCAUGUCAGUAACGGUUCCUAGACAAGAUGCUUCAAAACCACGAGGAUCUCUCUGGAGUUUUCUUUCCCUUAGAAGAAGUCUGUGUUCCCACUUUCUCUGCGGUGCGCGUGAUGGCUGCAGCCAGCCAGCCUGUGAGCCCUGGUCUGCGGUGCAGCUCUGUCAGCCAUGGGCCGUGUGAGCAGGGCAAGUCCUCCUCUGCCCUGUGUGGGUGGCGAUGCCCAGUGUAGGGUACGUUGCGUGAGGAAGAGCACCUUGACGCUCUCCCUACAGCUGGGCGAUCGAUCGGGGGGACCCUCUUGGUGACACACCUGCCUUCCUGGUCCUCCGCUCUGAGGUCCUCCUCCGACCCAGUGCUCUGCUUCGUCACCAGGAAGCUGCAUGCUGACGUGGGUGGUAACAAUGAGAAGACUCGCCUGAGAACUAGUUCUUUUCCACAUGUAUGCCCACGGUUAAAAUCAAGGCUCUGUGUCUCUAGGACACGAACAAACAGAAAUACCAGACCUUUAUCACUGUUCUUAAACGGAGAGAGGCGUAGCCUGUUCUGACACACAGAGGACGCGGAAGGUCAGUCACAGGAGUGCCUGCUUGCAUGCUGGCUGGCGUAUGAGUAAAACAUGGAAGAUCAAGGAGCAGUAUCCUCAUUGCUCUGCCUCUGAGUCAUAAACAGUUGUUUAAAUUUAAUGUUAAAAGAUUGCUGGGGGUUAUCUUGAGAUUUAUGAGAUAAUGGUUACAAAGAAUUUUCAGUUCUACAAAUGAGUAUUCUGAUGAAACUCUGAAAGUCUUUGCAUUUUCUAAAACUAGUGCAGGUGUUGCUGCAACACUUUUUCCUUUCCUUCCUCUUCUUACGACUUGUCUCUUCUCUCCACUCUCCUGCCCUCCUGCCCUCCAUCCACAGUGUUUAUACAGCCCAGACAUCAGUCCUUCCUCCGUGGAAGCUGCAGGACAGUGGGCGAAAAGGGUGGCUUGCAAAGGCGAGGAUGUGCUAUGAGGGAAACGAACAUGUACAGUAAAGAAUCUGAAUUAAACCUGGUGUUAACUCUGUGUGUACAUAUUCAGAAACUAAGGGUAACAACAGAAGGUAGAUUUAUGAGCAUACAGACUUUGGUUUUUACAAAGCUGUCUAGUACAGAGUCACUCUUAGAGAUUAGUGUCAUGACAUAUGUAAAUAGUAGAUAGGUAGGAGGGAGGGAGGGAUUUUCCUAACAAGCUGAAAUGCCGAUCUGUAAAAAGCUAAUUUCUCACAUGAGUGUUUUAGGGUUGAUGGUGACUCUUGGCUGAGUUCUGAUAAACCAGAGGAGAAAGCUUUUUAUGUUAUUAUUAUUUUUUUUUUAACAAAUAAGGUUUGAUAUACAUGAUAUACAUAAUAUACAUAUUCUCUUAGAAGAAGUUGCUAUGUUCCCAUUUUCAGAAGAACUAGAAAAGGGAGAGCUCAUUUCUGUGUUUACAGUGCUUAUCUGUUCCUAAAGAAGAUGUAUGGAAAAGUCUCAUCAUUGUCCUCACACUGAAAACAGGAAUCAGGCCUGCUGUGUGUGCCGCACUCAGUGGACAGGAGGGUGUGGGUGUAAGGAAGGCCACUUUCCCUGCUGAGGACAGCCCCCUGGCUGGCCAGUCUGCCUGCGCAGGAGUGACUGCAACCACGAUAGCCCUGCACAGCAGGAGCCGCUGGGCCCAGGGCUUUCCCUGUCUGCUGUCCCCUGGAGGGAGGGCUGUGGUCUCAGCUCUCAGGUCCUCACCACUAGAUCAAGCAAACGCAAUGCCUUCUGUUCAGGGAACAUGGCUGGUGUCUCAGGUCUCGGGAUCUGGGUCGAGUCCCCCAGGGAACAACUCUUGUCUCUCGUGUUUUUGGCCCUUCUGACUAAAAGCAGCCAGGGCCUUUAAGCAGAGGAGGAAAUUCAAGCAGAAAUCUGCCACAGCUGGAAAUUAUCUUUAAAAUGACCUUGCCUUAUUAGAAAACUAGUUCAUUGAAAGUUUGUUCACAUUUGCGCUUGAUCCAAUGUUUAAAUGAUUUAAAAAUAAAAGACUCAUUUUGUAAGUUAACAGUUCACGCCACUGUCAUAACCGUAAAGUUCUGGGAUCUUUUGUGAACAAAUGAAGUACGGUGCCUUCUUUAUGACAUAAUUAAAUCUAGACCCCAGUGAUAUGGGGCACCUACUAAAUACCCAGAUGGGCACAGUGUUCGCCUUGAAGUGAAGACAUGCGUAGAAUUUUAAUCACAUCAUGAUUUAUUUUUGCUCUUUUAAAUACCACCUUUUCGAUAGUUGCUUCUGAAUGAAUGACUAAUUAUUUACUGUGAUUUAUAACUAGGAAUUUGAACGUUAAAAAAUUCUAAUCAAGA